AUGCAAAUUUUGAUUUGGCAUCUGGUUUGAGGCAAUGAUGCCAUUAUUUACUUGAGCUGGUAGAAAUUGUUGUUGCAGCAGCUGCGGUUGUGCCUGUUGUCUUUGUUGUUGUUGCAGUUGCUGUAGAGGUGGCUGCUGCUGCUGUGGUUGUGGUUGUGGCUGUGCCUGUUGUCUUUGUUGUUGCUGCUGCUGCUGCUGUAGAGGUGGCUGAGGCUGAGGCUGCUGUUGAAGAUGUGACUGUGGCUGCAGCUGUGACUGUCGUUGCUGUAACUGCUGUUGUGGAUUUUGAUUCAGAGGAGUCUGCAAUAACUGCUGGAGUUGCUGUUGCUGGGGCCAGGUCAUAGGUGCCUGAG
Molecule: long non-coding RNA, 353 nt
Filed under: Gossypium barbadense (sea-island cotton)
Lineage: Eukaryota; Viridiplantae; Streptophyta; Magnoliopsida; Malvales; Malvaceae
Description: long non-coding RNA (GBAR_LNC005857)
Source: RNAcentral